Molecule: long non-coding RNA, 406 nt
Organism: Mustela lutreola (European mink)
Lineage: Eukaryota; Metazoa; Chordata; Mammalia; Carnivora; Mustelidae
Exons: 3
Source: RefSeq, a predicted model, not a curated record
UGCAGCAGGAGGCAGCUCUCUGCUCAGCCUGCAGUGCCGAGUGACACAGCCCCGCGACAUAGUCACCGAGCACUAACUUCUAUUAAAUGCAGGCAGACUGUGAGAACCCUAUUGGAACUGCGUCAGGACAUGAGAGAAGCAAAGGAGCCCAACCUCAUCAGUAUCUUUCCUUCGGGCAAUGUGACAAGGCUGGAUAUAAGUCAAUGACUCAAGUGGAUUUGAUUGCGUAAGAGAUGAAUGAUCAGUUUAUCCAGUGACUCACCAAAGUGUGUCCCAACCAAAGUCCACAAUUAUUUUGGCUCCUCGCAUUCAAAGUGGAAUGUUCUGAGAAUCUGGAUGAUCUCUCGCUGAGUGUCUGGGCCACAAGGUAAAACACCUGAGGAUCUGAGGGGAAAAUGCUGAGGGG